CGGGCCCCCGAGGGAGCUCUGCCGUCCCCUGAGGUGCUGCGGGGAGCGGCCCUGCUCCGGGAGGCACAGGGGCACCUCCCGACACAGCCCCCCGAAACAACAGCGGCCCCGGUGCGGGCUGAGCCCGUCCCAGCGGCGGCCGCAGCUGAAGUGUGAAGAGCAUCGUGGGCAGCGUGAAGCGCGCCCAGGCUCCGCUCUGCUGUGGGACCCAGCCAUACACCUGAUCCGGACGAGAUCGUGGCGUUAUCACCCUUCUCCCUGGGUUCUGCCCCAAAACACCCACUUCCGUGAAUGCUCACAGCCCCUCAGGCAAAGAAGAGCGCCCCACCUGCGCUCUCAGCACCAAGGUCCAGGGGACCGGUGUCUCAUCAAGGCUUGUCUCAACAAGACAGCAACUGAAAAUCUCGACAUCUCAUCACAGGUUUUGAAGCCUGCUUAUCCUGACCAAGCCUUUCUAGAUCUCAUCAACAUGAAGGAACUCUCCUUAUGCCCUUCCAAGAUCUGUGCAACUUCUUGGAGUGACUUCCCGGUGAUGCCAACAGCUUUCCCUGGCACCCCCAAGCAGAUUAAGUGGAAGACCACAGCAGUAUUUACUAGACUUUUUAAAGACCAAAGCAAUCAGGUAAAACAAACUGCACCUUCCAGCCAGUUGGAUCACUGUAAAAUUCAGAACUGGAAGGGACUUUCUUCAGAACAGCCUCCUGAUCUUCACAAGGCAUUCAUGUUACUCUUCCUAAUGACCUCUCUGCACUGAUCUCUAUUGGCAGAGCAAGGCUUGGGGAGCCAUCAAGGAAGGUGAUGGUACAAAUAUCCCUGCCUUUGUAAAUGAAAUAUCUCACACAAUCCACGGCUGCCAGAGGUUGGUUUUCUGGCUCCUGGAGACAUGUGUCUCCUCCUCUUUUGGGGGAAGCUGAGGGUGCAAAGGGAGCAGAGCCUGCAAUGCAUCCAUCAGCUCAAAAGCAGGAUUCAGUCCUGGAGGUAACCCUCAUCCUCUCAAAACUUUAACCUAAGGGAGCACAAAGGGAAAAAUAAUCAUCUUGUGUUGGUCAGUCGCUUUGCUCAGUGUCACAAAUAUCACAGAAAGAGUGGCCCUCAGCAGAGUUUGCUCUAGAUCAAGAAUAACUCCUGUUCCAGCCAUAGCUGGGGCUGUUUAGUACUUCAGGUUUUUGAUGUAUUGAGGAAAGCCUUGACAACACAGACAACUGCAGUGAAAUAAGAGGCUGGCUCAAACAUUAACGACCCACUGAUUUUAUGUGAGACAGAGAGAUGAUCAGACUGUCUGCCUUGGCAAAAACCUCUCCUUCCACCCACUGUGGUAGGCAUCCCUUCAAUAACUGCAAGGGGCAGAACUGGUCCCUCAAAAUUGUCUUUCUUCCCCCCCCACCCCCAACUCCUAUCCUUCUCAGACAGAGUAGGAAUAAAAAACAAGCUGUUGGUAUAGCA
This 1443-nucleotide long non-coding RNA is filed under the name Cyanistes caeruleus (blue tit). RNAcentral describes it as "lncRNA (ENSCCEG00000008602.1)". The record is from RNAcentral. Lineage: Eukaryota; Metazoa; Chordata; Aves; Passeriformes; Paridae.